AUUGAACGCUGGCGGCAGGCCUAACACAUGCCAGUCGAACGGUAACAGGAAGCAGCUUGCUGCUUCGCUGACGAGUGGCGGACGGGUGAGUAAUGUCUGGGAAACUGCCUGAUGGAGGGGGAUAACUACUGGAAACGGUAGCUAAUACCGCAUAACGUCGCAAGACCAAAGAGGGGGACCUUAGGGCCUCUUGCCAUCGGAUGUGCCCAGAUGGGAUUAGCUAGUAGGUGGGGUAACGGCUCACCUAGGCGACGAUCCCUAGCUGGUCUGAGAGGAUGACCAGCCACACUGGAACUGAGACACGGUCCAGACUCCUACGGGAGGCAGCAGUGGGGAAUAUUGCACAAUGGGCGCAAGCCUGAUGCAGCCAUGCCGCGUGUUUGAAGAAGGCCUUCGGGUUGUAAAGUACUUUCAGCGGGGAGGAAGGGAGUAAAGUUAAUACCUUUGCUCAUUGACGUUACCCGCAGAAGAAGCGCCGGCUAACUCCGUG
Molecule: ribosomal RNA, 490 nt
Filed under: uncultured bacterium
Lineage: Bacteria
Description: partial 16S ribosomal RNA
Rfam family: Bacterial small subunit ribosomal RNA
Source: RNAcentral